This is a long non-coding RNA of Acinonyx jubatus (cheetah), 12349 nucleotides long. RefSeq lists it as uncharacterized. The record is from RefSeq and is a predicted model, not a curated record. The transcript has 8 exons. NCBI's taxonomy places the organism in Eukaryota, Metazoa, Chordata, Mammalia, Carnivora, Felidae.
GCUACCGUAAACCCUCGACGUGCUAUCUGGAGCCCCUUAUCGAGCACACUCUAAUAGAUAAUAAAAGAGUGGGCACUGGGGGACAGGCGCCGGGUGGGGAGAUGUUUGCAAAACCAAGUAGGGAUAAACUGCUGAGUGACCAGACCGAAGCGAGCGUUACCGGCGCUGCAGGGUUUUGCCCACUACUUGGAUGGAAGGAGGAAAAAGUGAUGUGUGAAGAGAGAUGGGGGAAGGGGAGAAACCGGUUGGGCAAGCGGCUGGUUGCCGAGCAUAAUCUAACGAAUUUCAAAAGAAAACGUAAUAAAAACUAGACAAGAAACAGUGUUCGUAGACAAGAGCAUUCUUGGCUUGGAUUAUUAAAAGACCACUGCGUUGUAGGCAGAGUGGAAGGGAACUCAGUCGAGGCCAAAGGAGCCUUACAAGAGAAGACCAGAAGGAGCAAGAAAGAGAGGCAACUAUGAUCAAUAGUUUGUUUUUUUUUUUCUUCUUCUUUUUUUAAUCAAUAGGUUUUGCUUACUCCUCGACUGCUUUUUCUUCCAUCUCUUAAUUAGCAACGAAAAGCAACCAAGUUGUUUGCAUGAUGACGCCAGGGGGGAAAAGGCCUGACCACUUCCUAGAAGGAAGAAAAGAGGCUUUUUAAAGACACCACCUACAGCUAGAUUUGCAGGGUAUGACAUGAUUACAACUCCUGUGUCCAGAGGAUUAAAAAUAGAGUUUGGCCUUAAAAAGUACCACUUUAUAAAAGGCAACAUGACAUAGUGUUUUAACUGACCUCAUGUUCACAACAGAAUCGAAAAUCUUUGUUAGAAAUUAGUGAAGCCUGUAAGAUGGUUUUUAAAAAGCAUGAUGUGGUAUAUAAAUAGAACUUAAUUUUGUAAAGUUCUCAUAUUAAUUUUUACAAGUCCAACGGUCUUAGACUGUUCAACAUUGUAAUCCUCUUAAUCAAAGACAAGUAAAUUUAUAUUGUGAACAUUUUGGUAACAAAUGGCAAUGUUUUCAUAAACUCACACUGGGAUUCAAGGCAUAACAGCAUAAACUUUUCUAGAUUUUUGCAAUCAACAGAGCUGCUUCUAAGAGAAAUGUAGAUGGAAAAAUAUGAAUCUGGAACUAUAUAUUCAUAAUUAAAUACACUGGAAGAUUUUUGACUGUUCUCAUUGGUUUACUGUUUUCUUGCUUUUUGGGGAAGAAACAAUUUCGUUGGAUUUUAGUUGACAAGGUAGUUACCUUGGCCUCAGCAUUAUAUAUAAAUAUACAAAUUAUUUGGAGAGUUAAUGACCAGGCCAUUUAUCUCUAAUAAAGUUUAGAUGGCUAUGCUUAAAACUGAAUUUGUGUAUCUGAGUGGGAAACAUAGCCUUUUUUCUUUUUUUUUCCCUCUUGGUUGACACCUGGUGGAAAUUCAUUCUGGUUGUUCAAGUACUUGGAAUUUUGUACUAGCUUUGGUAACAGAUACUACUUGGGUUUUUUUGCCACCUAGUGGUAAAAUGGUGAAUUUGCUAAAAUGUCAGCUUCUCAGCUUUAGGGUCAAAUGAUACUUGUGAAGCAUUCAAAUGACAUUGGGCAAGAAAUGGAUUUAAAAGUGCAGUACACAAUGAGGCCUUCAUUACUAAAUUUGUUUUAAAUACCUCAGGGCUCGUGAACAAUGGCUAAAUUGUUCAGAAGUUUAAGUAAAAAUUUUCUUGUCGUAAUAUAACUUCUAUCUGAAAAAAUAAGAAUCAGUUUUUUAAAUGAACUAGAAUUGCAUUUAAUCAGAAAGAACCCUAAGAGAUUUACUUGUAGUUUGGAAAAUUGUUUUACCACAUUAAAUGAUUCAUUCAUGGGGCUAUAGGGCAUUAUUCCUUCUCUUAGAAGCUUUUAGGGUAUUAUAAAUUACUGUCUUUAUUACUUACUUUGCUAUUUCUCUUUAUUUUCUCUCUGUGUCUUCAUAAACACUUCCUAAACACCUCUUAAACUAAUUGACAAGUUGCCAGGAAAUUCUUAUCCCCUGUCACUUUUACUUAAGAUUCUACUGAUUUAUCCUAAUUAUCACCUUUCUUUGAUUUGGAUUUGGUCAUAUAACUAUUUAAGUGUCUAAACUUGAGUUUACUUGCUUCAUUUUGUUUACUUUCUCCUAUUUGUUCAAACUCUGGAAACACCAGAAACAAACGAACAACAAACAAACAACCCUGGCACCUUUAAAUUCCUGUUUGUGUUUUCAGUUUUUUAAAAAUUUAUUUAUGUAAGUAAUUUCUACAUCCAGUAUGGGGCUCAAACUCACAACCAGAGAUCAAGAGUCUCAUGCUCUUCCAACUGAGCCAGCCAGAUGUCCCUUUGUAUUUGUGUCUAAAAGGAAAAAAACACUUGGAUUAAAUUUUGGACUAAAUGUUUUCUCUUGUGGCAUUUGUAACCUCCCCUUUUCAAAACUCCUUGUCUAAAACUCUGCCUUUGAGAUAACUUGAAAUGUUGUACUUUAGGUGUUUUCUUGGUCUUCUGGACUUGUCUUACUGGGCCCUUAUUGUAUUUUGCAUUAAGUUUAAGCUAUUCAUCUUUACCACUAAGGCUCUUUCCUACUGCACUCCAGCCUACGUCUCGUAUGCCUUCUCCUCCUACUCCUCUGCUGACUCUCUAUACUCCUGUCAAGUGCAUCUUCUGUCCCCUUUGUUAGCCUGUCUCGCUGUUGCCAAUGUGCAGUUGCAUGCUGUUUUCUGUGCCCAGAACAACAUCUCACUGCUGUUAACUCCUUUCCCUUCUUCUAACCCCUCUACUAGACUCAGUUGGGCACAACUGAAUAAAAUUCCAAGUAGGCAGAAUAACUAGCUCCCCCUUCCCUUUUUACAACUUCUUCAGAGCUUAAGUAGAAAUCCCUCUUUCUGGUAUUUGUUCCUUGGAUUUUAAAUUCAAUGGCUGUUCCAUCUUACUGUACAAAGGGUUAAACUCAAGCUCAAGAACUCUAUCUAAAACUGACAAAUGAUGAUCACUAUCAAGAUAUUUUGUAUUCAUGUGGCUUUUCUGCAAAUGAAGAGGAAGGAGAGAAGAACCUUUUGGAAAGAGUCACUUGAUAAAUAAGUGGCCAAUGGCAGGGGAAUGAUUGUCAAAUAGAGUCAUGAUCCUAGAAAGGAUAAGUGAUCACUCUAAAUGAAAUGAAGUGUUGGUUGCUGGCUUGGAGACAGCAGUGGCCAAUAGUUAAGAGGACAAAGCCAAUUAAGUGAACUCUUGAAAAAUCACCAAAACAUUGAACAGUGAAAUACUUAGAUUGAAAACACUACAGUAUUUGCUGUGGAGAAACAGAACUUUGUGGAUUUAUGAAUGGAAAUGAGAUAUAACGUUCUGGAUUCUUACAAGAGAGCAGAAAGUAUGAGCAAUGAAUUGGUUUCCGAUGUUUGCAACUAUGACCUUAAAUGACAGAACUGAGCAGGACUCAUGGUACGCCCAGCAUCCCUUGCAUGUUGCCUGGAAGGUAUUCCUGGACCACUUGCCUUACCUCAGGAGGUUUCUUGGAAUAGAUUGGAAUUCACUGAUGCGUAUUGGAGCACUGUGAGGCUGGCUUCCGGUUAUUGUUAGGACUGACAUGGCUACAGAAUUUCUCCAAACCUCAUAUCUGCAAACUGCAGGGUGUGCAAUACCUUGUACUUGGUGUCCUUAAGUGAUUGGUAGUAUCUCAAUAAGCACAAGAGAGUUAGCAAAUAGGCCCAAUCUCUUCUCUCUGCAGGUUUCACAGACCCAGACUCUAAUGAACCAUGGCAGCGUCAGAGUGCAGCAGCAUUUUACAGAUAAGGGCACCUGACACAAAAAGACCAGGUCACUUUCUCUGUAAAUGCAUAACAUUAUAAGUUCCAGAGGAAGCAAUGUGGCAUUCAAGAUUCUACAAGGAGAAUCAAGGAGAGUUGCCUGUUAUAAAUUUGGACAUUUUUCGUUCUUUAAAAAUAUGACACAGGCACAGCCAGUUUCUUAUGCCCGGCAUAGGGGAGACCUUGUUUGGGAGCACGGCUGAACUGGACCAGGGAUUAGCACCUGCAGCAGAGAAAGGCAGCACUAUCCUGGCUAGUGAUCUGUGUGGAGGUAUGUCAGGCAUGAGAACCUCAGGAAAGAGAGAUAUUCUGCCUAAGAGAUAGGAGACUGGACCUUGUUAGACUUUCUGAAGGCAUUCAAAGGUGAGACGCACAAAUGGUAAAGCAACUCAGAAGCAUAGAGACUCCCAAAAGGAAAGCGAUUAGUAGACUUUAUAAUGUUGCCAAAGCUGCCAUAUGUAAAAGCCAACCAGUGAAAUAAGAACAAAGUCAUUGAGCAGUAGAUAUUAUAGAAGCUGAAAUAGAAAGUAGUGGAGCCAUCAGGAAUUUAGAACUUGACAUUUCAGAAGACUAAAAGUGGGCUGGGUUGCUACAGUAAAGCUGUUGAGAUUAUUAUUAUUAUUAGUUUGUUAUUCUUCAUGCGGCAAACUAACUUCAACUAUAUUAAAUUGGGCUUCUCACUCUUCCUCCAACUUCAAAAAAUCUAACACAGCUAAGAAAAUAUAAUAAAUUUAUAAGAUCACAGAAUUUCAGCUCUAGAGGGGAAUUUAGAGAUGUCUUACCAAAAUGUUUUUCUAUUUAUUUUUACCAUGAAGAUUUCAGCACAAGAGAGGAUAAUAACAAAGUCCCUUGUUUUGCUCUACCGGCUAAUCAGACACUGUGAUCAUAAUUUCUUAAGGCCAUAUACAUAUUUUAAGUGAUUGUUUCUUCCAACCCCGGUACAAAGUAGGAGCUCAAUAAGUGCUUUUUGAAGAGCAAGUCAGCAAAAUCUUAUGGCAGUUGAGAGUUUUGAUUUGAUUGCAGAGCUGGUUAGUUCUAAAUAGUUAAAAGAAGGGAUAUGGUGAAAAAAAAAAAAGGGAAUAGACUUUUAUUUGCCCCUGCCUACUCUAUUUUGCUGAAACUUUCUCUCCUGCACCCCACACAUAACACUCUCAGACUCAUGCUUAAAUAAAGGGGUGAUUAGCCUUGUUAUCUGAUUAAGGAGGUUUUAUAUCCAUCAAAAUUGGUCCUGGAAAAUUCAUUGCAGAAGGCUAGCAUUUGGGGUUCAAAAUUGCAUGGGCAAUGGGGCACUGACAGCGUCCAAGUAAUUUACAGUUAGGUAUGCACAUUUGCCUAGAUUCAUGGAUUAAAAGUGAAAAAGGUUUUAUGUUUGGAACAUUUUCUGAUUCAAGGAUAAGGAAGGUUAGUGUGAAGCUAGGUUCUCUGACCCUCUGAUGAUUUACAUGGAGCUUUCUGUAUCAGUGUCAUUUUCUUGAAUAUCAAAGGCUAAAGAGUAUUUUGAAUAAAUCAAAUCUUAAAAGAAGUCUCUGAGAAAUAUUACAUAUCUGUUGAGCAGGUUAGGAAGGAGACAAUUAGUUGAAGCCAGGGACACUUCUUCAAUUUUAGCCACCUCUGAAGGACCAACAGUGAGAGCGAUCAAAGUCACACCUGCCACUUUGUUUUAACGUUCGGUUUUGUUUUCCCUUGAGAUAAAGCCUUCAGAGCCAGAAUAAACAAUUCUGCAAAAUAACAUGUAGCAAAGAAAGAAUUCUAUUUCUGAUCUUCAUCUGGGGUUCAUCUUAGGAGUUACAAAAAUAAAUCCUUAUUUUUGGACAAAUUCUGAAUUGUGGUCUGUAUUGGAGGGUUGUGUUCCUUUUGAUAAGAAGCUUUCCUAGUCCACAUUUCAUACAAAAGGACUGCUGAGAAUUGAGAUGACUUAUGACACAUUAUUAAGGACUUGGGUUUAGCAUAGAGAAAAACCCAGCCAUUUCCAUACUGCUCUGCCUUGGAGAAGCGGGAAAUACUCCAGGUCAAGGGCAUAUGCAAGGGCAAAUUCUAUUUGUUCACAAAAUUAUUUUACUCACAGUACCAGAUGGGGUUGUUUGGAUUCUGUAUGACACAGCAGUCCUUCCUUAUUUAUUUUUUAUUUUUUAAGUUUUUAUUUAUUUACUUAUUUAUUAUUUUUAAAAUGUAAUUAUUUUUUAUUUACAUACAAGUUAGCAUAUAGUGCAACAAUGAUUUUGGGAGUAGGUUCCUUCAUGCCCUUACCCAUUUAGCCCAUCCCUCCUUCCACAACCCCUCCAGUAACCCUCUGUUUGUUCUCCAUAUUUAUGAGUAUCUUCUGUUUUGUCCCCCUCCCUGUUUUUAUAUUAUUUUUGCUUCUCUUCCCUUAUGUUCAUCUGUUUUGUAUCUUAAAGUCCUCAUAUGAGUGAAGUCAUAUAUUUGUCUUUCUCUGAGCAGUCCUUCUUUAAAUUCUAGAACAAAAUAAAUCCUAAAGAAGGCAAAGUCAAGAAAAGUUUCGAGCCCUUAUUUGUGUGAAAUGAAAGAAUAAGGGAGUUAGCUGAUGAUCCUGUAACUAUGUGAACUUUGUAUCAUGCACUGUGUACAAAAACAAUUUCACAUGUUGAGAUGUGUAUGCUAAAGGAGAUCUUAAAAUUGCCCUUCCAAUGUUCAGGAUUGCUAGCAUUUGUGAGGGAAGUCUUAUGCCUUCCCAAGGAGAUAAAUAAGAUCAUCUUAAUAUGCUCAUAAUUUUUUAUGAGCCAGACCUUUGUUUUAAGAAUCAGUUCUAAAGGACUCUGGGGACUUUGGCUAUCUUAUCCUAACUUAAAAGAAGUCUGGAAUUUGAAAAAGGCUCUUUCUAGUUUGAUAAAUUUUCAUUCUGCAUUAGCUGAGGAAGUUUUCAUUCUCCUUGACCUAGGGUUAUUCUUGAGUGUUGGGGGACCGACUUACAUGCUAUAUGAAGCUUCUUGAGAGGAUGUUAGUAUUCACACAAGAUGUGGGCUAUGAUUUGAGACCUUCCCCAGUUCCAACAGUCAACAGUACAGGGCAAAUAGGAUUGGUGAAUACUGAAAUUCGAACUAAAAAUUGCCUCUUUAAUUGCUUACUUAUGUGGAUGCUUGGUAUCCAUUAAUUGUUGCUUUUAAAAAUUGAGACUAUAUCCAUACAUCAAUCUGCCCUAUAUGUUUUGAUGCAUUUCAAAAUUAAAUUUUCUGGUAUAGAUUCCAAUCAGUAUCCCUCAUCAACCCAGCACUUUAACAUAAUGCAUGCUAGAAUUUAGUAUUUGUUUUUUUUUUCAGUUAUGAUUAAAGAUAGUGGAAUUCUCUUCUGAAGUUUACGAUUUGAUGAUUUUGGCAAAUGUAUACUCCCUUGUAACCCCAGCAGAAAUUUCCUUUGCACCCUUUCCCAGGCAAUCCCUGCUUGUACCCCACUGUUCUGAUUUUUUUUAAAUGUUUACUUAUUUUUGAGAGAGAGAGAGAGAGAGAGAGAGAGAGAGAGAGUGAGAGAGCGUGGUAGAGGGGCAGAGGGGGGACAGAGGAUCUGAAGUGGGCUCUGUGCUGAAGUUGGACGCUUGACUGACUGAGCCACCCAGGCUCACCCAAGCCACCCACCUUGUUCUGAUUUUUUUCAGGAUGGAUUAAUUGUGUUGUUGUAGAACUUCAUAAAAAUGGCAUCAUUCAUAUCUACACUCUUUGUAAGAUUUUCACUGAGCAUGUUUUUGAGACUUCAUCAUGUUGUUAUAAGUAUCUGUGGCUCAUUUAUUUUUAUUGUUGAGUACUACCUCAAAUGUAAUGACUAAUUUGUUUGUCCUUUGUUGAAGGACACCUGUUUCCAGUUUUUGACCAUUAUGAAUGAAGUCGCUACAAGUCUUUGUGUGGUUGUAUGUUUUCAUUUCUCUUGCAUAUAUACUAUGGAGUGGAAUGACUGGCUGGUCAUAGCAAAGGUGCAUAUUUAGUUUUAUAAACAUUUUCCUGAGUGAAAGGGAAUGAUAUUUUUCCUAAUUGUCACUGUAGACUCCCAUCUGUAAUGAUUUUAAUGUUUUAAUUCUCCUAUGCGACAUUCUACUCUGAAGACGAGUAUAGGAAUAUUGUUUUCAUCAUAGUAUAGCAAUCCAGGGCUGAGCUGGGGAUAGGGUCAGGAAGCAAGUGUUCUGAGUUAAUUCAGAGCCCUCUGUGCAUUACUGUAGUCACUUCUGGAUGGGUGGGAAGGUAGCUGUAUUAUACUACUGUGAAAUAGUUGACAGACUAAGCUCUAUCCUAUACAAAAUGUAUUAGAAGAGGCUAAACAUAAUGUAUAGUAAUGGUGUCAGUGUUUUCACUAAAUUUGUAAGACUUAUUGAAGACAUUAGUAGCUAUACGUGUAGAAAACUAGAGACCCAGUUCUAUAGGUUAAGUUCAUGCACCUUGCAUUUCUACUACUUAGGUUCAGUGUAUACUUUGUUCUUCAUUGAGUUCAUGCUAGUCCUCUAUAAACGUCUAAACAAAACCCUGAUUUAUAAGUUUGUUGAUUUUUUUAACCAUAGAAACUGGCUAAUAUAUGGUAAGAUUUGAGCCAUGGCAUGUCUAAUGUAUAUUAUUUUAUACAUAGGAAAAAACCUUCUAAACAUGAUGCAUGCCUAUGAAGUUUUCCCAAGUUAGAAAAUAAUAUAUGUUUUUCUAAUUUCUCUUGAUUGAAAAUAUGAUCAUUGGAAUUUUCUAGAUGUAAGUUUUUAAUGACCUUACUUAUACUUACCUAAGUUAUUUCCCACUUUCCCCAUUGACUUUUUAACUCUAGGAUUCUUUUUUACCAGGGCUAUUCUGAAAGGAUCUUUGUGAUAAUCCAGGAGACUGUCCCUAUUUUAAGGUCAGCUGAUGAGCAAAUCACUUCCAUCGGCAACUUUGCACCGUUAAGAGCAGAAACUUCAAACACUGGGUCUGUCAUUUUCUAGGGUGUCCUUUAGUAUAUCCCGUUUUGUCCUGGACAGAUUGCAAAAGGGAUCCUCCACUGGGUGGGACAAUUAGAAAGUGGUGCCAGGAUGCACAGGUUGUUUGGGAAAUAAAGGACAGAUUUCAGCACCACCUCCCCAGGGUAUAGCCUGUACACGGCAGCCUCCUGGCAUUUUCUAUAGACUGACUCCCAUGUUUCUCACCUCUGCCUUAGACUUUAUUUGUUCCAUACUCUGAGCCACCAGAGGGAGACCUGUGUCUUUUGAAGUUCCCAAGGGCCUACUCUAGCAUUGAGAACAGAAUAAACCCUCUGGACCCGGUUCUGCUGAGAUCUGUGGGUGGCAAUACAAAACUACUAUCUUUAAACAAAAUUUAAGCAUUUUUAAAUAAAAAUUUACAGAUUUAAAAGCCAUUACAAGCAAUCUUAGUUUAUGGUAAUUAAAAAAUAAAUGAGGCUUCAAUCUUCUAUGAGGAAUCAAGGCCAAGUGCCCUGUUAUCAUCUGUGUAGGCCUAAGGAACCCAGACAUGGCCAGGAACCUUUGGAGGAAGAAUUUCUCUGUAUCCCCAUUAACUCUGACUUCCAGUUUCCCUGAAUAAAGUAAGUGUCUGACAUUUUAUGAAGACAAAUUUUCUCGAUAGGGUUCACUCAAAGUAGGAUUUCUCUGCUUUUAGCUUUAUUAAGCUUCCUGGACACUUUGAGGAUGAGAGUUCUAGACGUCUUGUAGUCAUUUUGUUAUUCCACAGCUGCUCCUAAAACCAGACAUAUUAAGAAAUGUGUCGAGGCACAGUGUCUAGGACGUGUUGUUGAAAGUACAAAAAGGAAUUUGGAAAGAAGUUUUAGGACACUAAUGACAAACAUCAUGUGUUUCCCAACUUUUCUUGGGGCUGUUUUUAAAUGGAAAGUUGUGAUAGUUUGUAGCAAUUCCUCAUGUGUCACUCUAUUAAAUACUCUUCCAUUUGUCAUGGGACAAUAGUUACCUCUAUAGGUAAGAACAUCUGCCUUCCUGGAACUGAAGGUUUGAAGCAUUAGACCAGCUGAACUAAUUCAGGAAAAGGGUGUGUGUGUGUGUGUGUGUGUGUGUGUGUGUGUGUGUGUGUGAGAUAAUAAUAGACCUUAAAGAACCUUUAAUGAUGAGAUCCUAAAAUUGUUAAAGGUACUUUUGGAUCUGUGAAAAAAGUUCAAUUCAAAUUACUUGGAGCAGGAAGGAAAUGUCAUAGCUCUUACAGCUGGAAUAGCUCACAUGCCUGAAGGAAUAGCGAAAGGAACUAGAACCCUACAUCCUGGAAUGGGUCUUAGAACCUCUGGACUCUAUUUUUCUACCCAGCUUUUAUCUCUGCUGGUCUCUGAUAGGCUUUGUUCUGCAUAGAAACCCUUUUCAAAUAAUGGAGAAGACGCCCGCUGGCAGCCCCAGAGUCCUACCUCCUAGACUUAGCCUAGUAAGAACCCCUUUCUGCCAGUCCAGUUCUAAGAAAGGACUCUGGUCUUCCUUACAUCCUGCUUAAAUGCUGGCACCAAAACCUUUUCUCUUGCCAGAGCGAGGGGGCACUACAGUGUGACAGGUUAUAAUUGUUAGAAUUCAGAGAGGCUGGGAAUAGGGUGAGGAGAGCAAGGCAGGGUCAUGCAAUUACAGGGACAGAUACUGUCUGUCUUUAAAAUCAUCGUACUUUGUUCAAAAGUCUGGGGCAAGCGGAAAAUAGAAGAGUAAAAGUCAUGAAUGCAACUUGGUAGGGUUUAAAAAGGCUAAUUUGAUACUCUUCCUUUGCCUGAGUUUAGUUGAGAGCUCGAUACUGGGUAGAAAGUACAGACUUAAAAACAUUGCUUCCCCCCUCACCCCCAACCCCAGAUGAAGCUUUUGGAGAAAGUGGUUUAAAUUUUUUAAAUGUUUAUUGUCGAGAGAGAGAGAGAGAGAUUGAGAGAGAGCGAGCGGGGAAGGGGCAGAGAGAGAGGAGACACAGAAUCUGAAGCAGGCUCCAGGCUCUGAGCUGUCAGCACAGAGCCCAGUGGGGGGCUCGAAGUCACAAGCCAGGAGAUCAUGACCUGAGCCAAAGUCUGACACUUAAUUGACUGAGCCACGCAGGCGCCCCUGGAGAAAGUGCUUUAGAAAUCAUCCAUUGACACUUCUCCACAUCUGCCUUCACGCUUUGGAUUAUAGCAUGUGGGACAGCACACUUCAAGGGAGGAAAGUGGCGGUGUUUAGGGGAGUUCCAUUUGCCUGGAUCCCUGGUUUGCAUUGAUUUGCGGCAUCAGGAACCAAAAUCUCUGAUCUUCAUUCCUUACAGAUCUUCAUAAAUUAACACCACCCACCAAGUGCUUCAGUUACUCCUGAUUCAUGGAAAGAAAAUGGGGCAAGAGAUGAGAUGUGCUACCAGAGGUCUCUACCUGAUACAAGGAGUCAGGGAGACAAGCUUCCAUGAAUAAUGACUUGAAGGCCCCUAUUCUUCAUUUACCCUCAACUAUUUGAAAAUCCCAUUUUCAUCAAAUAAAACUGGCUCUGUGAGUUGACUCUGGAGUGAAGGCUAGCAUUUAUAUUUCUGCUUAAGGAAAUGCUACACAUCUGAACUUAUCCACUUCCCAGCUAUUGUCAAGGUUGUAAAGGCCGGUGACUACUGAGUGCCUAUUCCAUGAAAUUGUUCAGUGACUUACUCUGGUUUGGAGUCUUGUUCAAAGUAUCUUAAAGUCUGGUGGGGAGGGGUUAUUAGUGAAACCAGAUGAGUCAUUUCAUGAACUCAAUCAUUGCUACAAAGCAGAGAAAGGAGACAUUAGAGCAGAAGAGGCGUACUGAGGGAAUCUUCAUGAAGGAGAUACACUUGAGUUAUCCCUUGAAGUAGUAUUCCAAAAGCAAAGGGAACAGCAUGGGUAAAGUUACAUGGCGUGGAGUAUACACAGAAUAUUUGGGAAUUGGGAAGACAUUUGGCUGGUUGUGUAUCUAGUAGAAGAAGGUUACCAAAGCAAAUUACCAAACAUAUUAAACACUUUAUAUAACACAAACUUUAUGGUGCUUUUCAUACGUCAUUUAAUUUAAUCUCUAUGAGGUUGGGACUAGCUUGUUUCUUCAAUGAGGAAGCUGAAAUCUAUGAAGGUUAAACAGUGUUUUCUGACCACACAGGUAAUAUUUAAUACAUAGGAAUAACAUACAGAUCUACUUGACUUCAGUUUUCAUGCUCUUAAGUUCUGCAGUGUGGUGAAGCCAAGGAGAGAAAGGCUGAAUAGAGACAGGCUAAGGAAUCUGUCCUUAGGUUUGCUCAGUUGCUCACAAGGAGGGAGAAAGCAAAAGGAGAUUGUUAUUAUGCAGGAUUGGUGCACUUGUGUGUUUAAAAAAUUUUCCUGCACGUUGAAUAUUUAUUAUGAAUCACCCACAUUGUACAUUUGUAACAUAAGGUAUGGGUAAAGAACGUGAAUAGAGCAAACACAAGCCUUGAUCUUGUAUUUGUCUCAUAGAGGCAAGAGAGACGAACCAAUUAUCAGGUACUAAACACAAUAUAAAACUAAGUCUCCUAAAGAACACACAGGGUGGGGCACCUGGGUGGCUCAGUCGGUUGAGCGUCCGAUUUCAGCUCAGGUCACGAUCUCGCGGUCCAUGAGUUGGAGCCCCGCGUCGGGCUCUGGGCUGAUGGCUCAGAGCCUGGAGCCUGCUUCCGAUUCUGUGUCUCCCUCUCUCUCUGCGCCUUCCCCGUUCAUGCUCU